Magallana angulata is the source of this 335-nucleotide long non-coding RNA. RefSeq lists it as uncharacterized. Lineage: Eukaryota; Metazoa; Mollusca; Bivalvia; Ostreida; Ostreidae. The record is from RefSeq and is a predicted model, not a curated record. The transcript has 4 exons.
GUAUUAAAAAUUCCUUUAUUCCACUUUCUGGUUUGCUGAGCAGAAUGAAAGUAUUCGUUCUUUUAACACUAGCUGUCCUUCUGUUGGUUUAUGCUGAUGUAACUGUUGCUAAUUAUGGCUGUCCAGUCCAGUAUUGGUGUAAAAAGAGUUGUGUUCGAAGAGGUUGCAGAACUGGAUACUGUAUGUUUUGGAGAUGUCGCUGCAGCCGUUGUGGGAAACGCCCAGGACGUUAAAAGCCAUGAAUGCAUUAACCCUGGACUGAUAAAUACAUUGAUACAGAUUUUCCUAUAAUAUUGUGCACCAAUAAAGAUUUAAAUAAAAAGUUUGUAAAUAUU